AGUCGAGGGGCAGCACAGAGAUAGCUGUGCUAUUUUGGUGGCGACCGGCGCACGGGUGCGUAACGCGUAUGCAAUCUACCUUAUACUGGGGUAUAGCCCGAAGAAAUUCGGAUUAAUCCCCCAUAGUACUGAUAUACCUCAUGGUAAUUCAGUUAAAGUUUCGGCGGUAUGAGAUGAGCAUGCGUCCUAUUAGCUAGAUGGUAAGGUAACGGCUUACCAUGGCUACGAUAGGUAGGGGGCCUGAGAGGGUGACCCCCCACACUGGUACUGAGACACGGACCAGACUCCUACGGGAGGCAGCAGUGAGGAAUAUUGGUCAAUGGGCGCAAGCCUGAACCAGCCAUGCCGCGUGCAGGAAGAAUGCCCUAUGGGUUGUAAACUGCUUUUAUUUAGGAAUAAACCUUUCUACGUGUAGAAAGCUGAAGGUACUGAAUGAAUAAGCACCGGCUAACUCCGUGCCAGCAGCCGCGGUAAUACGGAGGGUGCAAGCGUUAUCCGGAAUCAUUGGGUUUAAAGGGUCCGCAGGCGGGCGUAUAAGUCAGUGGUGAAAUCCUGCAGCUUAACUGCAGAACUGCCAUUGAUACUGUACGUCUUGAAUUCGGUCGAAGUGGGCGGAAUGUGUAGUGUAGCGGUGAAAUGCAUAGAUAUUACACAGAACACCGAUAGCGAAGGCAGCUCACUAGGCCUGGAUUGACGCUCAAGGACGAAAGCGUGGGGAUCAAACAGGAUUAGAUACCCUGGUAGUCCACGCUGUAAACGAUGAUUACUCGUUUUCGGCGAUAUACUGUCCGAGAACUAAGCGAAAGUGAUAAGUAAUCC
RNAcentral lists this ribosomal RNA (819 nucleotides) under uncultured bacterium. Its description in RNAcentral is "bacterial SSU rRNA". It matches the Rfam family "Bacterial small subunit ribosomal RNA", at positions 60 to 870 of the family's 1533-position model. The record is from RNAcentral.